AGUGAACGCUGGCGGUAGGCCUAACACAUGCAAGUCGAACGGCAGCACAGUAAGAGCUUGCUCUUACGGGUGGCGAGUGGCGGACGGGUGAGGAAUACAUCGGAAUCUACUUUUUCGGGGGGGAUAACGUAGGGAAACUUACGCUAAUACCGCAUACGACCUACGGGUGAAAGCAGGGGAUCUUCGGACCUUGCGCGAUUGAAUGAGCCGAUGUCGGAUUAGCUAGGUGGCGGGGUAAAGGCCCACCAAGGCGACGAUCCGUAGCUGGUCUGAGAGGAUGAUCAGCCACACUGGAACUGAGACACGGUCCAGACUCCUACGGGAGGCAGCAGUGGGGAAUAUUGGACAAUGGGCGCAAGCCUGAUCCAGCCAUACCGCGUGGGUGAAGAAGGCCUUCGGGUUGUAAAGCCCUUUUGUUGGGAAAGAAAAGCAGCAGGUUAAUACCCCGCUGUUCUGACGGUACCCAAAGAAUAAGCACCGGCUAACUUCGUG
Molecule: ribosomal RNA, 492 nt
Filed under: uncultured bacterium
Lineage: Bacteria
Description: partial 16S ribosomal RNA
Rfam family: Bacterial small subunit ribosomal RNA
Source: RNAcentral